GAAUGCUGACAUAAGUAACGAUAAAGCGGGUGAAAAGCCCGCUCGCCGGAAGACCAAGGGUUCCUGUCCAACGUUAAUCGGGGCAGGGUGAGUCGACCCCUAAGGCGAGGCCGAAAGGCGUAGUCGAUGGGAAACGGGUUAAUAUUCCCGUACUUGGUGUUACUGCGAAGGGGGGACGGAGAAGGCUAUGUUGGCCGGGCGACGGUUGUCCCGGUUUAAGCGUGUAGGUGUGUGUUCCAGGUAAAUCCGGUUCACUUUAACACUGAGGCGUGACGACGAGGCACUACGGUGCUGAAGCAACAAAUGCCCUGCUUCCAGGAAAAGCCUCUAAGCAUCAGGUAACAUCAAAUCGUACCCCAAACCGACACAGGUGGUCAGGUAGAGAAUACCAAGGCGCUUGAGAGAACUCGGGUGAAGGAACUAGGCAAAAUGGUGCCGUAACUUCGGGAGAAGGCACGCUGACACGUAGGUGAAGUGAUUUACUCAUGGAGCUGAAGUCAGUCGAAGAUACCAGCUGGCUGC
This 522-nucleotide ribosomal RNA is filed under the name Salmonella enterica. RNAcentral's name for it is "partial 23S ribosomal RNA". It matches the Rfam family "Bacterial large subunit ribosomal RNA", at positions 1292 to 1797 of the family's 2925-position model. The record is from RNAcentral. Lineage: Bacteria; Pseudomonadati; Pseudomonadota; Gammaproteobacteria; Enterobacterales; Enterobacteriaceae.